AUUGAACGCUGGCGGAAUGCUUUCCACAUGCAAGUCGAACGGCAGCACGGACUUCGGUCUGGUGGCGAGUGGCGAGCGGGUGAGUAAUGUAUCGGAACGUGCCCAGUCGUGGGGGAUAACGUAGUGAAAAUUACGCUAAUACCGCAUACGAUCUAUGGAUGAAAGCGGGGGAUCGCAAGACCUCGCGCGAUUGGAGCGGCCGAUAUCAGAUUAGGUAGUUGGUGGGGUAAAGGCCCACCAAGCCAACGAUCUGUAGCUGGUCUGAGGGGAAGAACAGCCACACUGGAACUGAGACACGGUCCCGACUCCUACGGGAGUCAGCAGUGGGGAAUUUUGGACAAUGGGCGAAAGCCUGAUCCAGCCAUUCCGCGUGCAGGAUGAAGACCCUCGGGUUGUAAACUGCUUUUGUACAGAACGAAAAGGUUUCUACUAAUACUAGGAGCUCAUGACGGUACUGUAAGAAUAAGCACCGGCUAACUACGUGCCAGCCGCCGCCGUAA
This 500-nucleotide ribosomal RNA is filed under the name uncultured bacterium. RNAcentral's name for it is "partial 16S ribosomal RNA". It matches the Rfam family "Bacterial small subunit ribosomal RNA", at positions 30 to 523 of the family's 1533-position model. The record is from RNAcentral.